RNAcentral lists this ribosomal RNA (167 nucleotides) under uncultured bacterium. Its description in RNAcentral is "partial 16S ribosomal RNA". It matches the Rfam family "Bacterial small subunit ribosomal RNA", at positions 349 to 507 of the family's 1533-position model. The record is from RNAcentral.
CAGCAGUAAGGAAUUUUGCGCAAUGGGCGAAAGCCUGACGCAGCAACGCCGCGUGAGUGAUGAAGGCUUUCGGGUCGUAAAGCUCUGUCAAGUGGGAAGAACCCACAGGAUGCCAAUACCAUCCUGUGCUGACGGUACCACUGAAGGAAGCACCGGCUAACUCCGUG